ACACGCAUGACACACUGCAUAUCAAUAAGCGGAGGAAAAGAAACUAACAAGGAUUCCCUUAGUAACGGCGAGUGAAGCGGGAAGAGCUCAAAUUUGAAAUCUUCAAGGUUCUACCUUGACGAAUUGUAGUUUAUAGAAGUGUUUUCUGUUAGUAGAGUGGCAAAAGUUCUUUGGAAUAGGACAUCAUAGAGGGUGAGAAUCCCGUAUUUGGUCAUUCUUUCUAGCUUUGUGAUACACUUUCAACGAGUCGGAUUGUUUGGGAAUGCAGUCCAAAAUGGGUGGUAAAUUUCAUCUAAAGCUAAAUAUUGGCGAGAGACCGAUAGCGAACGAGUACCGUGAGGGAAAGAUGAAAAGAACUUUGAAAAGAGAGUUAAACAGUACGUGAAAUUGUCAAAAGGGAAGCGUUUGACACCAGUGUUGUUUUUCCGAAAAUCAAUUACAUGAUGGUUUGAUGUUUAGAGUGUAAUGACUUCAUCAGCUUACUGUCUAGUUCUUUACGUACUUUCUUGAAUGCACUUUUCGUUUAACAAGUCAACAUCAAUUUCUUUUGUUGUAAAAGGGUACGAGGAAGGUGGCUUCAGCUUUCGGUAGAAGUGUUUAUAGCCUUGUACCUCAGCAGUCGGAGAGAUUGAGGUCUGCAGCGUAGAUCCUUCGGGGUUAGAUACAUUUGUGCUAAGUUAUAGCUUUUCAUAGACAACGUGUUGACUAUGUUAAGUCUUGUAGCUUACUCGCUUAUGCUAUUUUACCUACGCUUAGGAUGUUGACGCAUGAGAUAUACGC
Molecule: ribosomal RNA, 780 nt
Filed under: uncultured Neocallimastigales
Lineage: Eukaryota; Fungi; Neocallimastigomycota; Neocallimastigomycetes; Neocallimastigales
Description: partial large subunit ribosomal RNA
Rfam family: Eukaryotic large subunit ribosomal RNA
Source: RNAcentral